CCCUUAGAUGUUCUGGGCCGCACGCGCGCUACACUGGUCGAUGCAACGAGUUUCUUUCCUUGGCCGACAGGCCUGGGCAAUCUUUGAACAUCGAUCGUGAUCGGGAUAGAUUCUUGUAAUUUUUGAUCUUAAACGAGGAGUUCCUAGUAAACGCAAGUCAUCAGCUUGCAUUGAUUACGUCCCUGCCCUUUGUACACACCGCCCGUCGCACCUACCGAUUGAAUGGUCCGGUGAAAUCUCCGGACUGGCGUGAGUCGGAGCAAUCUGACAAACACCGGAAAGUUGAUUAAACCUUACCAUUUAGAGGAAGGUGAAGUCGUAACA
RNAcentral lists this ribosomal RNA (324 nucleotides) under uncultured eukaryote. RNAcentral's name for it is "partial 18S ribosomal RNA". It matches the Rfam family "Eukaryotic small subunit ribosomal RNA", at positions 1470 to 1796 of the family's 1831-position model. The record is from RNAcentral.